UACGUAGGCAGCGAGCGUUGUUCGGAGUUACUGGGCGUAAAGAGUGCGUAGGCGGUCUUCUAAGUUUGGUGUGAAAUCUCCCGGCUUAACUGGGAGGGUGCGCCGAAGACUGGAAGGCUUGAGUAUGGGAGAGGUAAGCGGAAUUCCUGGUGUAGCGGUGAAAUGCGUAGAUAUCAGGAGGAACACCUGCGGUGUAGACGGCUUACUGGACCAUCACUGACGCUGAGGCACGAAAGCGUGGGUAGCAAACAGG
This 253-nucleotide ribosomal RNA is filed under the name uncultured bacterium. Its description in RNAcentral is "partial 16S ribosomal RNA". It matches the Rfam family "Bacterial small subunit ribosomal RNA", at positions 524 to 776 of the family's 1533-position model. The record is from RNAcentral.